ACUCUAGGGAAAGUUAGCUGCCAUGUUGGCAGCAGCUCUGUGGAAAGGCCCAUGUGGCAAGGAAUUGAGAAAUCUUGCCAACAGCCCAUGAGAAACUGAGGCCUCAAGUCCACAGCCAGAAUCUUAAAUGCUUGUGUGCAGCCACCAUCCUGACAAAUGAUUCAACAAAUGAUUCAAAGAGAAAAACCAGAAUACAAUUAUUUUGAUAGACACGUAAAACUGAAAAUCAAAUAUCCACAGAUGAAACUUCACCUUCAAGGAAAAUCGCCAACAGUGAUGUUUCUGGAUGAGAUUAGCAUUCAAAUUCGUGGACUCAUUAAAGUAGAUGGCUCUCUCCAAUAUGGGUGGGCAUCAUCCAAUCUGUUGAAGGCGUGAAGAGAACAAGAGAAGGAGGAAGGAAGAAUUCACCUUUUUUCUUGCUGCCCACCUGCUUGGGCUGGGACAUUGCAUCUCACCUUCUCCAGCCUUUGGAUGAGGAUUUACACCCUGGUUCUCAGGCCUUCAGGCUCUAACUGGAGCUACACUAUCAACUUUCCUGGGCCUCCAGAUUGCAGAUGGUGGAUCACGGUACUUUUUAGCCUCCAUCAUAAUAUGAGAAAAAAGAGGCACAGUGAAGCUAAAUAUAUUGGCUAAAGAUCACAAAGCUAGUAAGUAGAACAAGCUACUUACCUACUUGAACAAGAAACUUCCUCUUUUCAAACCUCUGUUCUGUUCUUUUUUUUUGUUUUUUUUGAAACUACGACAGUCAUUUAUUCUCUCUAACAGUUACUAUUGGUGAGGAAUUUUGGAGUAAUUUGAUUGGGUGUUCUGGCUCAAGGGUCUCUUAUGAGUUUGCAGUCAGAUGUCAGCUGUGGCUACAUCAUCUGGACACAUGACUGAGGGUGGAACAUUCAAUUUCAAGGUAUCUCACUCAUAUGGCUGGUAAGUUGGUUCUGGCUGUUGGCUAAGAGUCUCAAUUUCUGGCCACAUGGGCCACUCCAUGAGGCUGCUUGAGUGUCCUCUCAACAUGGUGUCUGGAUCUUUGGAUUACAAAAGACUAAUGUGGAAUCUGCAAUGCCAUUUAUAAUUUAUCCUUGAAAGUUCACACACUUCUGCUGUACAAACUUCUGUUCUUACCCGUGACUCUUUUGUCAAGCUGUGUCUUGAUAAAUUGUAACACUUUUGAGUCUUUGAAGAAA
Long non-coding RNA from Homo sapiens (human), 1178 nucleotides. Ensembl annotates it as TNPO1 divergent transcript. Its record names the gene TNPO1-DT. The record is from Ensembl. NCBI's taxonomy places the organism in Eukaryota, Metazoa, Chordata, Mammalia, Primates, Hominidae.